AAAGAGAGAGAGAAGAAAGAAAAUGAGAUGAAGAAGUUUAAGAUAACAGGUCAGGAGGAGGCUAUAUAUCAGGCUACAGUGACGGUAGCAUCUAAAGGACGUAAGAACGACCUGGCUGUGAAGAAUAGGGACAUCGUCAGCAUCAUACGGACCACAAACUGCCCCAAAGGAAAAUGGCUAGCCAGGGACAGCACUAAUACAUAUGGGUACAUCUCAGUGAGCCAGGUGGAGCUGGACAUUAGGGAGAUGUUGGAGCUGGGGAAGAAGGCUUCUCAUGCCAUCAGCCAUAAGGACAGCAGUACUGUGGUAGAACAGGGAGGAGAGCUGGCCAGGAUGGGCAGGAGGACUUCCAAUCACUACCCACUACAGGACGAUACAGGCAGCUUUACAGACGACAGUGAGGAGUGGACGUCUGAUGACGAUGAACCUCUCUCCUACCCAUUGAGGAAGAUCCUACAGAGAGUGGCCACAUCCAAACAAUGUCCAUGGCGGGAAGCAGAGAGUUUAGCAUCCACCACCAACAAACACACAAUGACACCACCAUAGAUGGAAUGGAUAUGCAGGUGAAACACGAAGCACUUCAGAAGCUGGCCACUUUCUUCCACAAACCUGUUGUAGAGGAACCCAUCAGGAGACCUGAAGAACCUGAACCCAUCAGCCCCGUGGAUAUAGAAGAACCAGUGUACCCAUGUAAAGUGGAAGCAGAUUUGGAGCUUCCAGACAUGAUGAUUCUUCCUCCUCCUGGCCUGUUUGCAGACAACAAUCAAUGACGCUUAGUAGACUACCAACUACAGUUGGAGAGCAGAGGAACAACGGCAACAUGGUAUGUUGUCGAGUGCCAGUCAUCUCCAUGACAAUCACUCAGAUAACGGAGACAUGAAGGAUCGUUGUUUGGACAACCUGCAAUUGGAUGGACUAUUUCUCUGUUAUAAUAUUGUUUAAGCCAGGAUUCAUUCCGAGAGCUCUAGUCAACAAUGCAGAUUUUUAAGGCAAUGUUACCGUCUUUGCGGAGUCCGCAUUCAAGAUAAAUGCUGCAGAUGUCGACUCAAUUGGAAAUMAUCUUUAAAAUGUCAAUAACGCUAUAGCGUUUCAGAUUGAAUUUCUUGUUUUGAUGUCCAUCCAGGGUUAUGGAGGAUGAGAUGAAGGAUACAGACAGAGAGCAGUUCUGUUUAUACUAAAUGUUCAAUAGUUUUAUACAAAGACAAUUAUGGGAUACCAUGCAUAGUGUAAUGUCUGUUUACAGGUGUUUGCAUUUGGCUAGAUGACAAAUCAACAGUCUGUAUCCAGCUACUGUCUGUGUCUAAAA
Salvelinus sp. IW2-2015 is the source of this 1306-nucleotide non-coding RNA. The record is from RefSeq and is a predicted model, not a curated record. NCBI's taxonomy places the organism in Eukaryota, Metazoa, Chordata, Actinopteri, Salmoniformes, Salmonidae.